GAUUAAUAUUGAGUUAAAUAUACUGCCUUCUAAGCAGUAGGUUGUAGGUUCGAGUCCUACCGGGAUCGCCA
This 71-nucleotide transfer RNA is filed under the name Candidatus Thiodiazotropha taylori. Its description in RNAcentral is "tRNA-Arg". It matches the Rfam family "tRNA", at positions 10 to 71 of the family's 71-position model. Rfam says of the family: Transfer RNA (tRNA) molecules are approximately 80 nucleotides in length. Their secondary structure includes four short double-helical elements and three loops (D, anti-codon, and T loops). The record is from RNAcentral. Lineage: Bacteria; Pseudomonadati; Pseudomonadota; Gammaproteobacteria; Chromatiales; Sedimenticolaceae.